GUAAAGUUGGUAAGUUUGGGGGAUGGGUUUAUGAAGUUGAAUAGUUUCACUUUAACCUCUCGAGACACGGUUGUUUUUCACCACAGAAAGACUGACCAGUAAACAGUAUGUCUGGGAAGACUAACUCCUCACCAGACAGCUCUGGAUCUUGUGACAAGAAGUCGAGGUUUCCAAACCUUGAUUUCAAAAGAUCAAGGUUCUCUUCUCUCUUAGAACCAGGUCACCAAGAACCAAAGGUAAGCU
Anoplopoma fimbria (sablefish) is the source of this 243-nucleotide long non-coding RNA. RefSeq lists it as uncharacterized. The record is from RefSeq and is a predicted model, not a curated record. The transcript has 4 exons. Lineage: Eukaryota; Metazoa; Chordata; Actinopteri; Perciformes; Anoplopomatidae.